Molecule: ribosomal RNA, 449 nt
Filed under: uncultured bacterium
Lineage: Bacteria
Description: partial 16S ribosomal RNA
Rfam family: Bacterial small subunit ribosomal RNA
Source: RNAcentral
UCCAGACUCCUACGGGAGGCAGCAGUGGGGGAUAUUGCACAAUGGGGGGAACCCUGAUGCAGCGACGCCGCGUGGGUGAAGGAGCGUUUCGGCGCGUAAAGCCCUCUCGGCAGGGAAGAAGGAGGACGGUACCUGACUAAGAAGCCCCGGCUAACUACGUGCCAGCAGCCGCGGUAAUACGUAGGGGGCAAGCGUUAUCCGGAUUUACUGGGUGUAAAGGGGGCGCAGACGGCAGCGCAAGCCAGGAGUGAAAGCCCGGGGCCCAACCCCGGGACUGCUCUUGGAACUGCGCGGCUGGAGUGCAGGAGGGGCAGGCGGAAUUCCUGGUGUAGCGGUGAAAUGCGUAGAUAUCAGGAGGAACACCGGUGGCGAAGGCGGCCUGCUGGACUGCGACUGACGUUGAGGCCCGAAAGCGUGGGGAGCAAACAGGAUUAGAUACCCCCGUACUG